Molecule: ribosomal RNA, 1316 nt
Filed under: Pediococcus sp. MFC1
Lineage: Bacteria; Bacillati; Bacillota; Bacilli; Lactobacillales; Lactobacillaceae
Description: bacterial SSU rRNA
Rfam family: Bacterial small subunit ribosomal RNA
Source: RNAcentral
UGACGUGCUUGCACUGAAUGAGAUUUUAACACGAAGUGAGUGGCGGACGGGUGAGUAACACGUGGGUAACCUGCCCAGAAGCAGGGGAUAACACCUGGAAACAGAUGCUAAUACCGUAUAACAGAGAAAACCGCCUGGUUUUCUUUUAAAAGAUGGCUCUGCUAUCACUUCUGGAUGGACCCGCGGCGCAUUAGCUAGUUGGUGAGGUAACGGCUCACCAAGGCGAUGAUGCGUAGCCGACCUGAGAGGGUAAUCGGCCACAUUGGGACUGAGACACGGCCCAGACUCCUACGGGAGGCAGCAGUAGGGAAUCUUCCACAAUGGACGCAAGUCUGAUGGAGCAACGCCGCGUGAGUGAAGAAGGGUUUCGGCUCGUAAAGCUCUGUUGUUAAAGAAGAACGUGGGUGAGAGUAACUGUUCACCCAGUGACGGUAUUUAACCAGAAAGCCACGGCUAACUACGUGCCAGCAGCCGCGGUAAUACGUAGGUGGCAAGCGUUAUCCGGAUUUAUUGGGCGUAAAGCGAGCGCAGGCGGUCUUUUAAGUCUAAUGUGAAAGCCUUCGGCUCAACCGAAGAAGUGCAUUGGAAACUGGGAGACUUGAGUGCAGAAGAGGACAGUGGAACUCCAUGUGUAGCGGUGAAAUGCGUAGAUAUAUGGAAGAACACCAGUGGCGAAGGCGGCUGUCUGGUCUGUAACUGACGCUGAGGCUCGAAAGCAUGGGUAGCGAACAGGAUUAGAUACCCUGGUAGUCCAUGCCGUAAACGAUGAUUACUAAGUGUUGGAGGGUUUCCGCCCUUCAGUGCUGCAGCUAACGCAUUAAGUAAUCCGCCUGGGGAGUACGACCGCAAGGUUGAAACUCAAAAGAAUUGACGGGGGCCCGCACAAGCGGUGGAGCAUGUGGUUUAAUUCGAAGCUACGCGAAGAACCUUACCAGGUCUUGACAUCUUCUGCCAACCUAAGAGAUUAGGCGUUCCCUUCGGGGACAGAAUGACAGGUGGUGCAUGGUUGUCGUCAGCUCGUGUCGUGAGAUGUUGGGUUAAGUCCCGCAACGAGCGCAACCCUUAUUACUAGUUGCCAGCAUUCAGUUGGGCACUCUAGUGAGACUGCCGGUGACAAACCGGAGGAAGGUGGGGACGACGUCAAAUCAUCAUGCCCCUUAUGACCUGGGCUACACACGUGCUACAAUGGAUGGUACAACGAGUUGCGAAACCGCGAGGUUUAGCUAAUCUCUUAAAACCAUUCUCAGUUCGGACUGUAGGCUGCAACUCGCCUACACGAAGUCGGAAUCGCUAGUAAUCGCGGAUCAGCAUGCCGC